UGGGGAAUAUUGCACAAUGGGCGCAAGCCUGAUGCAGCCAUGCCGCGUGUGUGAAGAAGGCCUUCGGGUUGUAAAGCACUUUCAGCGAGGAGGAAGGUGGUGAGCUUAAUACGCUCAUCAAUUGACGUUACUCGCAGAAGAAGCACCGGCUAACUCCGUGCCAGCAGCCGCGGUAAUACGGAGGGUGCAAGCGUUAAUCGGAAUUACUGGGCGUAAAGCGCACGCAGGCGGUUUGUUAAGUCAGAUGUGAAAUCCCCGGGCUCAACCUGGGAACUGCAUUUGAAACUGGCAAGCUAGAGUCUCGUAGAGGGGGGUAGAAUUCCAGGUGUAGCGGUGAAAUGCGUAGAGAUCUGGAGGAAUACCGGUGGCGAAGGCGGCCCCCUGGACGAAGACUGACGCUCAGGUGCGAAAAGCGUGGGGCAGCAAACAGGAUUAGAUACCCUGGUAGUCCACGCUGUAAAACGAUGUCGAUUUUGGAGGUUGUGCCCCUUGAGGCGUGGCUUCCGGAGCUAACGCGUUAAAUCGACCG
RNAcentral lists this ribosomal RNA (529 nucleotides) under uncultured bacterium. Its description in RNAcentral is "partial 16S ribosomal RNA". It matches the Rfam family "Bacterial small subunit ribosomal RNA", at positions 355 to 871 of the family's 1533-position model. The record is from RNAcentral.